CCUACGGGAGGCAGCAGUGAGGAAUAUUGGUCAAUGGGCGAGAGCCUGAACCAGCCAAGUCGCGUGAAGGAUGACGGCCCUACGGGUUGUAAACCUCUUUUGUCAGGGAGCAAUUGGCUCCACGCGUGGGCUUAGCGAGAGUACCUGAAGAAAAAGCAUCGGCUAACUCCGUGCCAGCAGCCGCGGUAAUACGUAGGGGGCAAGCGUUAUCCGGAUUUACUGGGUGUAAAGGGAGCGUAGGCGGCAGCACAAGUCUGGAGUGAAAUGCCGGGGCUUAACCCCGGAACUGCUUUGGAACCUGUUCAGCUAGAGUGCAGGAGAGGUAAGUGGAAUGCCUGGUGUAGCGGUGAAAUGCGUAGAUAUUAGGAGGAACACCAGUGGCGAAGGCAGCUUACUGGACUGUAACUGACGUUGAGGCUCGAAAGCGUGGGGAGUAAACAGGAUUAGAUACCCCAGUAGUC
This 461-nucleotide ribosomal RNA is filed under the name uncultured bacterium. Its description in RNAcentral is "partial 16S ribosomal RNA". It matches the Rfam family "Bacterial small subunit ribosomal RNA", at positions 338 to 795 of the family's 1533-position model. The record is from RNAcentral.